UGGGGUGUAGCUCAGUGGGAGAGCACUUGUCCAGAGGCUCUGGGUUCAAUCCCCAGCACCACAA
This 64-nucleotide transfer RNA is filed under the name Ictidomys tridecemlineatus (thirteen-lined ground squirrel). RNAcentral's name for it is "Spermophilus tridecemlineatus (thirteen-lined ground squirrel) tRNA". It matches the Rfam family "tRNA". Rfam says of the family: Transfer RNA (tRNA) molecules are approximately 80 nucleotides in length. The record is from Rfam by way of RNAcentral. Lineage: Eukaryota; Metazoa; Chordata; Mammalia; Rodentia; Sciuridae.